This 311-nucleotide long non-coding RNA is filed under the name Phasianus colchicus (ring-necked pheasant). Its description in RNAcentral is "lncRNA (ENSPCLG00000002402.1)". The record is from RNAcentral. Lineage: Eukaryota; Metazoa; Chordata; Aves; Galliformes; Phasianidae.
CAUUUGUACAGUGGUCUGCUAGCAAGGAUCAGUGCCCCUCCUGUCUGGAAAAGCACAGCCUCUGCGUUGCUCUGACAUGCUCUGCCUCUGUAGGACAGUUCAGCCUGUGUCAGCACAGCCCCGGGCUUGAGGGCACGUAUCCCUUGCAGGCACAGUCAGAGCUAACAGUUACACAGCUUCUGGACUGGUGUCUGCACAUGACUGGCUUGAAGCACAGGCAAAGCAAGCACCAUUGCACCCAUCUGGAUAGAAUUGCCCUGAGGUACUGAACAGGAAGGAGACUGAUCUGGAUGAUGGAAGAUUUCCCCAUC